Molecule: ribosomal RNA, 469 nt
Filed under: uncultured bacterium
Lineage: Bacteria
Description: partial 16S ribosomal RNA
Rfam family: Bacterial small subunit ribosomal RNA
Source: RNAcentral
GACGAACGCUGGCGGCGUGCUUAACACAUGCAAGUCGAACGGAAAGGCCCUGCUUGCAGGGUGCUCGAGUGGCGAACGGGUGAGUAACACGUGGGUGAUCUACCCCUUACUUUGGGAUAAGCCUGGGAAACUGGGUCUAAUACUGGAUAGGACCAUGCUGUAGGUGGUGUGGUGGAAAGAUUAGUUUCGGUAAGGGAUGAGCUCGCGGCCUAUCAGCUUGUUGGUGGGGUAAUGGCCUACCAAGGCGUCGACGGGUAGCCGGCCUGAGAGGGUGGACGGCCACAUUGGGACUGAGAUACGGCCCAGACUCCUACGGGAGGCAGCAGUGGGGAAUAUUGCACAAUGGGCGCAAGCCUGAUGCAGCGACGCCGCGUGGGGGAUGACGGCCUUCGGGUUGUAAACUCCUUUCAGCCAUGACGAAGCCCUUGUGGUGACGGUAGUGGUAGAAGAAGCACCGGCUAACUACGUG